Molecule: ribosomal RNA, 253 nt
Filed under: uncultured bacterium
Lineage: Bacteria
Description: partial 16S ribosomal RNA
Rfam family: Bacterial small subunit ribosomal RNA
Source: RNAcentral
UACGUAGGGUGCAAGCGUUGUCCGGAUUUAUUGGGCGUAAAGAGCGUGUAGGCGGCCACACAGGUCAGCUGUGAAAACUCGAGGCUCAACCUCGAGACGUCGGUUGAAACCGUAUGGCUAGAGUCCGGAAGAGGAGAGUGGAAUUCCCGGUGUAGCGGUGGAAUGCGCAGAUAUCGGGAGGAACACCCGUGGCGAAGGCGGCACUCUGGGACGGUACUGACGCUGAGACGCGAAAGCGUGGGGAGCAAACAGG